GACGAACGCUGGCGGCGUGCCUAAUACAUGCAAGUUGAGCGAUGAAGCUUGGUGCUUGCACCAAUUUGAAGAGCAGCGAACGGGUGAGUAACGCGUGGGGCAUCUGCCUUUGAGCGGGGGACCACAUUUGGAAACGAAUGCUAAUACCGCAUAACAACUUUAAACAUAAGUUUUAAGUUUGAAAGAUGCAAUUGCAUCACUCAAAGAUGAUCCCGCGUUGUAUUAGCUAGUUGGUGAGGUAAAGGAUCACCAAGGCGAUGAUACAUAGCCGACCUGAGAGGGUGAUCGGCCACAUUGGGACUGAGACACGGCCCAAACUCCUACGGGAGGCAGCAGUAGGGAAUCUUGGGGAAUGGACGAAAGUCUGACCGAGCAACGCCGCGUGAGUGAAGAAGGUUUUCGGAUCGUAAAACUCGGUUGGUAGAGAAGAACGUUGGUGAGAGUGGAAAGCUCAUCAAGUGACGGUAACUACCCAGAAAGGGACGGCUAACUACGUG
This 497-nucleotide ribosomal RNA is filed under the name uncultured bacterium. RNAcentral describes it as "partial 16S ribosomal RNA". It matches the Rfam family "Bacterial small subunit ribosomal RNA", at positions 28 to 507 of the family's 1533-position model. The record is from RNAcentral.